GUGUUACUCGGCAGCACAUAUACUAAAAUUGGAACGAUACAGAGAAGAUUAGCGUGGCCCCUGCGCAAGGAUGGCACGCAAAUUCGUAUCAUCCCAGUUGGU
Mauremys reevesii (Reeves's turtle) is the source of this 102-nucleotide small nuclear RNA. Lineage: Eukaryota; Metazoa; Chordata; Testudines; Geoemydidae. The record is from RefSeq and is a predicted model, not a curated record.